AUGAUACAAAUGCUGUGUGAAGCCGCUGGGUAUAUCUGGGCAAAUUGGGGACAGAAAAACUCUACUCAGCCUCAGCUGGGCACAGAACCCUUGAAAAGUGAAGCUGGAUGAACUCUCAACUGAUCUCUCAGUCCAUCUCCUCCUUCCACAGCAGAAUCAGAACUGCUUGUGUCAUUCCUGGUGUGUGCAGGGCAGUUGUUUCACUUGCAUUUUUAGCAGACUUUGACCUGGCACUGGGCUGUUCCUGCACCUCUCCAUGCUCUGCUCACUGUUGAGCACCUCCUGUUCUCAGUCUCUUGAUUCAGGUCAUGUUUCCAUUGUCCUGCUGUGUUGCCUGUCAGCCUUUCCCGAGGAGCAGCACCCAAACCUGGCUGUGCAUCUGCACUCAGGUGUUGCAGAGGACCUGUGAGAUGUCUGGCAGUGAGCCAUUGGAAACUGCUCUCAGACUGCAGAUUCCAACCAGAUUUGUGUCAGGACUUCAGCCAAGGCAUUCUUCACAUAUGGAUGUCACGUGGGACAAUGUCAGGAGCCUCAGGUGUGUGGGACCUGCUGCUUCUAUCUCAUCUACAAAGUCUCAUCCAUUGGAGAGCAGAAUUGGAUUGCAUCAGCUUGUUUUGUUCCUGAGGGAUCCGUGUAGACAAGACUCAUCUCCCUGUUAGUUUCUAUACACUUAGAAAGCAUUCUGAUUAUUCUGCUGUUUUACUUUUCCUGGGUGUUAAAUCUUUUUAUAUCUUACUUGUCCUGUUUGAUUUGUGGACAACUCCCAGUGUUUGAAAGUGUGAGAACUUUGUGGACAGUUGGGAAGGCAACAGAUCCAAACGUCUCACUGGGAGAAAUGCUGUGGCAAAUGUGAAUUUCCUGUGAUAAUUCACAGAGUCACAAGUGGUUUUCAAGAGAGUGGUGGAAGGAAUGUUUUGACAAAAAGAAAUUAUUUCAUUUCAGUCUGAGAAAUGAUGAUGCAAAUCAGCAUGACUUAAAAAAGAGAUUUCCAGGGAGUCUUGAGAGAAUUCUGAACAGUUUGAGCUGCAAGUCUGAGCAGCCUUGUAGAAAUUGUCUGGUAGAUUAGAAAUUGAGAAAAAAAAUCUUCCCUGGGAGGGUGGGCAGGCCCUGGCACAGGGUGCCCAGAGCAGCUGUGGCUGCCCCUGGAUCCCUGGCAGUGCCCAAGGCCAGGCUGGACACUGGGGCUUGGAGCAGCCUGGGACAACAGCAGAUGUCCCUGCCCAUGACAGGGGGUGGAACGGGAUGAUUUUUAAGCUCCCUUCAACCCAAAGCAGUCUGUGAUUCUAUAUUAAAUAUGGCCAGGGCCAUGUAAAAGAAGAAGUUGUGAAGGAAGAAUUUGGGAAACCCAAUUUUGGGGUGCACAGACUUUUUUGCUAUAAUAGAUUGGUAGUGAACAUCUAAGAAAUCAGAACUAGAGUUUAGACUAAAUUUCAUAACCUUUUAACCUAGAGAGCCUGGCUCUUGUUUGCAGAGUGUUUUCUGAACUCUCCUACAGGCUCAGUGUUGACAGGAGCUUAAUCACAGCACAGGGUGACCUUUGCACAGCUCAGUGAGAAGUGCCCCUGUGCUGGGCUUUGGAAUCUCCUGCUCACUGCACACACAUGGCUGCAGGUCUGAUCCCUCCAAAACAACGGAUUAUCCUGGGCUCUGUAGCACUUGUGGAGUGUUUGAUACUGUGUGGGUGGGAAGUGCAUGCAUAUUUAUGUGAACACUCCAGCAGAUGAGUGGAGGAAGAAAGAAUAACCAUUGCAGUUGGGAUGAACGAUUUGCUGUUAUUCAGAAAUACUGAAUUUGCCUGAAUUCUGUAUUUUACAAAAAAAAAGAAAACAAAAAACAAAAA
Molecule: long non-coding RNA, 1840 nt
Organism: Prinia subflava (tawny-flanked prinia)
Lineage: Eukaryota; Metazoa; Chordata; Aves; Passeriformes; Cisticolidae
Exons: 2
Source: RefSeq, a predicted model, not a curated record